Molecule: long non-coding RNA, 1602 nt
Organism: Otolemur garnettii (small-eared galago)
Lineage: Eukaryota; Metazoa; Chordata; Mammalia; Primates; Galagidae
Exons: 2
Source: RefSeq, a predicted model, not a curated record
GCUGGGACUACAGGUGCCUGCCACAAUGCCCGGCUAUUUUUUUAAGGUGCUCCAGGAAAUAAUCCCAUCAUGAAAGAUUUCAUCCCCAUUCUAGUAGCAAGAAGACUUUUCUGAAGUGGGAGAUACUGGGAUAGGGGCUUAAAGCAGCACCCAAACUUCUCGGCAUCCCUGAGGAACAUUCCAGAGAGGCUGCCCAUAAUCUAAGUGGCAAGGGGGAAAGACCCCUUUCUUAGGAUAGAAGAUGACCCCGUUCUAGGGAAGAGUCUAGGGACUCUUGGUUGCAAGAGUUCCCAAGAGUCAUUAUUCUGGGGUCUCUCACCCUGGUUCUCAUGGCUCAGGUGGGGAGCUUCUAUCAGGGAGUUCCUCUGCCUCCUCCCAGGGCUUUCUUCAGAAUGAAACAAACAUAAAACUUUUGCACAGAGCACCCAGGAGAGAUUCUCUUCCCACAGCUCCCAGACAGCACAGCCAGUGCCCUCUGUGACACCGAGCCCAGCACCUCGCACACUGGAGCAUUGUCUGACCCACAGCCCACAAGCCCAUGUUCCUCAGGAGCAGGCAGGCCCAUGUUGGAGCUAGGAAGCUUGGGAUGCAGCCCCAGCUCUGCUGCACCCAGUGGUUUAACUGUGAUUAAUGCCAUCUUCUUUUCUGUGCCUCAGUUUCUCUCUUCAUGGAGUGGCAGCAGAGAAUCCACGUGUUUGCUGCCUCCCUGCCAUAGGGUUAGUGAGUGAGAGAUCCUUGAGCUCCUUGAAAGAAAGACCUCGGCCUGCACAGUGUGGACUUAGCUGCCUUCAGCCCCUGUCCUCGUCCUUAGUGGGACAGGUGUUUGCACUACCCAGUUUCUUGAGGGGCACAGGCUGUUCUGGUUCCCCCUUGUCAGCUAAAGACAAAGAAGGAAGACAACUGAUGAUUUUGUUCAGGACCCCAGAGUGGCAGCAUGGUGAGCAUCCUUACCGUUGCCCAGGCUGGCCCCUGCUUUGUUGGGAGGCUGGCUGUGAUUUAUACCACAGGCCAGGAGUCCCCUUGUUGGGGAGGCUUCCUGUUUUGCCCCACAGGAAGACAAAUCGCAGGGUACCAGGAAUAGAAGGAGCAAGCACACUCUCUUGGCCAGAGUCCCGGCCAUUGUGCCCCUGCCACCCCUUCUUGGCCACUGUCCCCCUUCCACCCAGCACCUGUAGUCCUGCUGGCAUCUGUGUUCACAUCCUAGCAUUGCUCCUGCCAUUUCCCUGAUGACUGAUCCCCAUUGGGUCUGACAUUCCGAGUAACCAGCAUAUAACUGAUAGUUUUAUUCCAGCAAUAGCCAUAGAGACUGGGUAGGAGUGGAGAAUCUCAGCUGCCUUCCUGGCCAGUUACCUUAGAAGUGUGACCAUGCUCCAGACCUUUGCUUCUCUCUCCUGCAAAGGAUGAGUUCCUAGGGUGCUAAGUACUUAUCAGGGCAGUGAGGGGGGCAGUUCCCUCAUACAGGUGUCUGCUUAGCAAAAAACACUAAGGUAACUGGCCCAGGGAUAUCCUCUCCUCUGGUUUCAAAGAUGUGCAAAUGAGGUUUAAGAAACCGUGUUUAAUUCCUAACCUUUUGCUAUCUGAAUAAAGCAGAGUUUAUUUCAA